UCUUCGUUCUCGCUUCCUUUUUUUUUUUGACAGAGAUGGGCCUUUGGCCGGCCCACGGGUGCGCACCGCCCCAGAGAUCGGAUAAGGGAGAGGCGACGGGGCGGCUUCCGAUCCCAUCGACCAACCGCCCCCAAUCUCCUUGUCCAAACGGCGGCCUCGGCCGCCUCCCGGCCAUCCGCCGUCGUCGCUGGACAGAGGGUCCCGGCGCGCCGUACUUCUCCUCUGAAGAAGAAUUUAUCUCGCUGCCGCGCAAGGAAACUGCCUGACGCUUGCCUCGACGAUCAGCGGCACGCCGACGCCGUGCGCCGUCGCGCCGUUCGACUGCUGCUACCGAAGCUGCGCGCCCGCGCAGGAAUGCCUCACUGGGCCCCGACGGUUGUGCCGAGGGCCGCAACGCGGGCUGGGCGCCGCCUACGCGCGCUAUGCACGCGGUGCCGCCACGGUCGCUUAUGCGGGGCUGCAUGAUCUUCUUUGGCAUGGAGAUGGAGGGGCUGGUGCGUCGCCGCCCUUUGUGUAGAGAGCGCCGACAAGAGGCAUCUCCUCCCCUCUAUAAUCUUGGGCGUGGACUCACGACCGCUGCUGAUGCCGAAGGUACCAUCGGCCAUGUUCAUGUCGUGGAUGGCCGUUGUCGACGCUGAAGGUGCCAUACGCUUUCUCCCGUGCCGAUGCAUGCAUGUCUUCUCUUUCUGUUGCAUGUCGCCAUGUGCAGGGCCGCGUGAGCCGCCGCCGGUCCUCAAGAAGGGGGCGAGGUCCACGCCGUUGCGUAGCCCAUGAGCACUGCGGGUACGGCGCAGACGCCGUCGCCGCCGUGACUGAUGUCGCCAUCCGCACCGGGGCUUGAUGCUUCACUCCGCCGCACCGUAUAGCGCCGCUUGAGCGUAGCGCCGGCACAGCCGGGGAUCCGCGAGGCAUCGCUGUUCUCUCUGGCCUAAUCGCUCUCCGUUAGGCAAAGUGCUGAUAACGUGAUGUGAAACAAGGAAGACAAAUGAAUCUCUAUCUCUUUCAUCGAUGAUCUCUGUACAUUA
This is a long non-coding RNA of Triticum aestivum (bread wheat), 1025 nucleotides long. RefSeq lists it as uncharacterized. The record is from RefSeq and is a predicted model, not a curated record. The transcript is spliced from 2 exons. Lineage: Eukaryota; Viridiplantae; Streptophyta; Magnoliopsida; Poales; Poaceae.